GGGGGUGUGGCUCAGAGGUACAGCUCUCGCUUAGCAUGCGGGAGGCACUGAGUUCAAUCUUCAGCACCACAU
RNAcentral lists this transfer RNA (72 nucleotides) under Ictidomys tridecemlineatus (thirteen-lined ground squirrel). RNAcentral describes it as "Spermophilus tridecemlineatus (thirteen-lined ground squirrel) tRNA". It matches the Rfam family "tRNA". From Rfam's summary of the family: Transfer RNA (tRNA) molecules are approximately 80 nucleotides in length. Their secondary structure includes four short double-helical elements and three loops (D, anti-codon, and T loops). Further hydrogen bonds mediate the characteristic L-shaped molecular structure. tRNAs have two regions of fundamental functional importance: the anti-codon, which is responsible for specific mRNA codon recognition, and the 3' end, to which the tRNAs corresponding amino acid is attached (by aminoacyl-tRNA synthetases). tRNAs cope with the degeneracy of the genetic code in two manners: having more than one tRNA (with a specific anti-codon) for a particular amino acid; and 'wobble' base-pairing, i.e. permitting non-standard base-pairing at the 3rd anti-codon position. The record is from Rfam by way of RNAcentral. Lineage: Eukaryota; Metazoa; Chordata; Mammalia; Rodentia; Sciuridae.